RNAcentral lists this ribosomal RNA (156 nucleotides) under Cercophora thailandica. RNAcentral describes it as "partial large subunit ribosomal RNA". It matches the Rfam family "Eukaryotic large subunit ribosomal RNA", at positions 99 to 261 of the family's 3401-position model. Lineage: Eukaryota; Fungi; Ascomycota; Sordariomycetes; Sordariales; Lasiosphaeriaceae. The record is from RNAcentral.
CGGCAACAGCUCAAAUUUGAAAUCUGGCUCCGGCCCGAGUUGUAAUUUGCAGAGGAAGCUUCUGGUGAUAUACCGUCUAAGUCCCCUGGAACGGGGUGCCACAGUGGGUGAGAGCCCCAUGUGACGGAUGUAGAUCCUGUGUGAAGCUCCUUCGAC